GACAGAAGGUGCAAGCGUUACUCGGAAUUACUGGGCGUAAAGCGUCUGUAGGUGUCCUGCCACGUCUGGCGUAAAAUUUCAGUGCUCAACACUGAACGCGUGCCGGAAACGAGCGGGAUCGAGUCAUUCAGAGGCAUCUGGAAUGUCGUGUGUAGGGGUAAAAUCCGUAGAUACACGAUGGAACGCCAAAAGCGAAGGCAGGAUGCUGGGAAUGCACUGACACUCAGAGACGAAAGCGUGGGGAGCAAAGGGG
Molecule: ribosomal RNA, 253 nt
Filed under: uncultured bacterium
Lineage: Bacteria
Description: partial 16S ribosomal RNA
Rfam family: Bacterial small subunit ribosomal RNA
Source: RNAcentral